Molecule: non-coding RNA, 20 nt
Filed under: Arabidopsis thaliana (thale cress)
Lineage: Eukaryota; Viridiplantae; Streptophyta; Magnoliopsida; Brassicales; Brassicaceae
Source: RNAcentral
UUUAAUGUUUCGUUGUGCUA